RNAcentral lists this ribosomal RNA (661 nucleotides) under Udeniomyces sp. 'pseudopyricola'. Its description in RNAcentral is "eukaryotic LSU rRNA". It matches the Rfam family "Eukaryotic large subunit ribosomal RNA", at positions 1 to 646 of the family's 3401-position model. The record is from RNAcentral. Lineage: Eukaryota; Fungi; Basidiomycota; Tremellomycetes; Cystofilobasidiales; Mrakiaceae.
UCUGGCCUCAAAUCAGGUGGGACUACCCGCUGAACUUAAGCAUAUCAAUAAGCGGAGGAAAAGAAACUAACAAGGAUUCCCCUAGUAACGGCGAGUGAAGCGGGAUGAGCUCAAAUUUAAAAUCUGGCAGUCUAAGAUUGUCCGAGUUGUAGUCUAGAGAAGCGUUUUCCGCGUAGGCCUGUGUACAAGUCCCUUGGAAUAGGGCGUCAUAGAGGGUGAGAAUCCCGUCCUUGACACAGAUCAUCUAUGCUCUGCGAUGCGCUCUCGAAGAGUCGAGUUGUUUGGGAAUGCAGCUCAAAAUGGGUGGUAAAUUCCAUCUAAAGCUAAAUAUUGGCGAGAGACCGAUAGCGAACAAGUACCGUGAGGGAAAGAUGAAAAGCACUUUGGAAAGAGAGUUAAACAGUACGUGAAAUUGUUGAAAGGGAAACGAUUGAAGUCAGUCAUGUGGUUUGAGGUUCAGCCGGUUCUGCCGGUGUAUUCCUCAGACUACAGGCCAGCAUCAGUUUCGACCGGUGGAAAAAGUUGGAGGGAACGUGGCAUCCUCGGAUGUGUUAUAGCCCUCUUUCACAUGCAUCGGACGGGACUGAGGAACGCAGCGUGCCUUUAUGGUCGGUCUUCGGACACGAACGCGCUUAGGAUGCUGGCAUAAUGGCUUUAAACG